This 197-nucleotide unclassified non-coding RNA is filed under the name uncultured fungus. RNAcentral describes it as "sequence contains ITS2". The record is from RNAcentral. Lineage: Eukaryota; Fungi.
AAUUCUCAACCCUUCUGGCUUUGUUGUCUGGAUUGGGAUUGGACUUGGAGGUUUGCUGGCCAUUUGGGGUCGGCUCCUCUCUAAAUGCAUUAGCUGGACCUCGUUGUGGACCCUUGCUCGGUGUGAUAAUUGUCUACGCCGUCGUGGUGAAGCUGUGUGAGGGUUGGCUUCCAACCGUCUUCGGACAAUGUUUGACA